AGAGUUUGAUCAUGGCUCAGGAUGAACGCUGGCGGUAUGCUUAACACAUGCAAGUCGAACGAAAUCUUCGGAUUUAGUGGCGGACGGGUGAGUAACGCGUGAGAAUCUACUCUUAGAUUGGGGACAACAGUUGGAAACGACUGCUAAUACCGAAUGUGCCGAAAGGUAAAAGAUUUAUCGUCUGAGAAUGAGCUCGCGUUGGAUUAGCUAGUUGGAGUGGUAAUGGCACACCAAGGCGACGAUCCAUAACUGGUCUGAGAGGAUGACCAGUCACACUGGGACUGAGACACGGCCCAGACUCCUACGGGAGGCAGCAGUGGGGAAUUUUCCGCAAUGGGCGAAAGCCUGACGGAGCAAUACCGCGUGAGGGAGGAAGGCUCUUGGGUCGUAAACCUCUUUUAUUAGGGAAGAAGAUCUGACGGUACCUAAGAAUUCAGCAUUCGAUCCCCCG
RNAcentral lists this ribosomal RNA (451 nucleotides) under uncultured cyanobacterium. RNAcentral's name for it is "bacterial SSU rRNA". It matches the Rfam family "Bacterial small subunit ribosomal RNA", at positions 8 to 504 of the family's 1533-position model. Lineage: Bacteria; Bacillati; Cyanobacteriota. The record is from RNAcentral.